UUCUUAUCAAGAGAAGCGGAGGGACUGGCCCGAUGAUGCUUCAGCAACCAACAUUUUUGUAAGGUGCUAAAUCCAGCGGCCCGAUCCGGUAGAUAAGAA
RNAcentral lists this non-coding RNA (99 nucleotides) under Ureibacillus manganicus. RNAcentral's name for it is "Lysinibacillus manganicus SAM-I sequence". It matches the Rfam family "SAM riboswitch aptamer (S box leader)". From Rfam's summary of the family: The SAM riboswitch is found upstream of a number of genes which code for proteins involved in methionine or cysteine biosynthesis in Gram-positive bacteria. Lineage: Bacteria; Bacillati; Bacillota; Bacilli; Caryophanales; Caryophanaceae. RNAcentral also lists the same sequence under 1 other name. The record is from RNAcentral.